AACGAACGCUGGCGGCGUGCCUAACACAUGCAAGUCGAGCGGGAAAGCCCGCAAGGGUGAGUACAGCGGCGCACGGGUGCGUAACACGUGGGUAAUCUGCCCAGAAGCCCGGAAUAACCUUCCGAAAGGAAAGCUAAUACCGGAUGAGACCACGGGAACCUCGGUUCCCGCGGGAAAAGGUGGCCUCUGCAUGCAAGCUAUCACUUCUGGAUGAGCCCGCGGCCCAUCAGCUCGUUGGCGGGGUAAUGGCCCACCAAGGCUACGACGGGUAGCUGGGAUGGGAGGAAGAUCAGCCACACUGGAACUGAGACACGGUCCAGACUCCUACGGGAGGCAGCAGUGGGGAAUCUUGCGCAAUGGGCGAAAGCCUGACGCAGCAACGCCGCGUGUGUGAUGAAGGUCUUCGGAUCGUAAAGCACUGUCGGGAGGGACGAAUAAGGGCCGGGUGAACAAUCCGGUUCGAUGACGGUACCUCCAAAGGAAGCACCGGCUAACUCUGUGCCAGCCGCCGCCGUAA
RNAcentral lists this ribosomal RNA (517 nucleotides) under uncultured bacterium. Its description in RNAcentral is "partial 16S ribosomal RNA". It matches the Rfam family "Bacterial small subunit ribosomal RNA", at positions 29 to 523 of the family's 1533-position model. The record is from RNAcentral.